GUCAAGCACUUGCCUUCGACGAGUUGACCGGUCUGUAGGACUAUUCAUUUACCCUCAACGUCUCGCUUCUAUAUCCUUGCCGCGUCUCUGGCGAAGAAAAGACAGCGGGAAAGAUCUUUUUUUAAGGAUGUUUGUAUUUCGGUGUCUGUGUGUUGCUCUCUUGAUGUGCAUGGCGAUUUUUAAGCCAGUGGUCUCUCAUGCAGGGAGUUGCGAGGACCACACCCCACAGUGCAGAUUCUGGGCGUACGCGGGAAGGUGUCAGUGGGAUAAUACCAUGAAACUAAAUUGCCCUGUUUCUUGUAACUCUUGCAUAGAUCCGACAUGCUUUGACAGGGACCGCCGCUGCGCCACGUGGGCAAAGGAAGGACAC
Penaeus vannamei (Pacific white shrimp) is the source of this 370-nucleotide long non-coding RNA. RefSeq lists it as uncharacterized. The record is from RefSeq and is a predicted model, not a curated record. NCBI's taxonomy places the organism in Eukaryota, Metazoa, Arthropoda, Malacostraca, Decapoda, Penaeidae.